This is a non-coding RNA of Caenorhabditis elegans, 86 nucleotides long. NCBI's taxonomy places the organism in Eukaryota, Metazoa, Nematoda, Chromadorea, Rhabditida, Rhabditidae. The record is from Ensembl.
AAACUGACAUGUGUAAAUGGGUGUGAAGCAUUGUGUAUACGUUUUACUAUCAAAUAAAAAAGGCUUUAUUUGCACUCUUACUUUCG